AUGGAGAAUGCCGAAAAGCCAUAAAUGAGUAGGCA
This 35-nucleotide non-coding RNA is filed under the name unclassified sequences. The record is from Rfam.